UCUUCAGAUGAUGAUCCCAAGCCUUCUGGCGAUCUCUUAUAAAGAAAGCCCUCCAUAAUAAAUUGAAAAGGGUCCUUUGGGGAAAAGUUUUCCCUUUGCUAAGAUGAAGCCGGGGAAGGUUUUCCGGUUUAUCCCGGAGGGCUUGUAGCUCAGUUGGUUAGAGCGCGCGCUUGAUAAGCGUGAGGUCGGAGGUUCAAGUCCUCCCAGGCCCACCAAUCAUUCUAUCAAUCUAUAAGCGCUUGUGGAAAUUGCUCAUAGAAAACUUUCUUUAUUCAUUUAUGAAAAAUCUCCUUAUAGAGAGAGACGCUUUUCCCUUUGGGUUUGAAAACUCAAAAUUAAAGGUGUUAAAGUGGCUUUAAAGGAAAAGUGACAAAGGAUAAGGAAUAAUGAUUUAAGUUAUCCCUUUUUGGUGAUCUUGAUUUGGGUGUUUUGAAUGCGUUAUGUUUUUUAGGGGGGGCCGUAGCUCAGCUGGGAGAGCACCUGCUUUGCAAGCAGG
This 496-nucleotide unclassified non-coding RNA is filed under the name uncultured Bartonella sp. RNAcentral describes it as "partial 16S-23S ribosomal RNA intergenic spacer". The stretch from base 139 to 212 matches the Rfam family "tRNA". The record is from RNAcentral. Lineage: Bacteria; Pseudomonadati; Pseudomonadota; Alphaproteobacteria; Hyphomicrobiales; Bartonellaceae.